RNAcentral lists this transfer RNA (72 nucleotides) under Camelus bactrianus (Bactrian camel). It matches the Rfam family "tRNA". From Rfam's summary of the family: Transfer RNA (tRNA) molecules are approximately 80 nucleotides in length. Their secondary structure includes four short double-helical elements and three loops (D, anti-codon, and T loops). Further hydrogen bonds mediate the characteristic L-shaped molecular structure. tRNAs have two regions of fundamental functional importance: the anti-codon, which is responsible for specific mRNA codon recognition, and the 3' end, to which the tRNAs corresponding amino acid is attached (by aminoacyl-tRNA synthetases). tRNAs cope with the degeneracy of the genetic code in two manners: having more than one tRNA (with a specific anti-codon) for a particular amino acid; and 'wobble' base-pairing, i.e. permitting non-standard base-pairing at the 3rd anti-codon position. RNAcentral also lists the same sequence under 1 other name. The record is from Rfam by way of RNAcentral. Lineage: Eukaryota; Metazoa; Chordata; Mammalia; Artiodactyla; Camelidae.
GAGGGUACAGCUCAGUGGUAGAGCGUAUGCUUAGCAUGCACGAGGUCCUGGGUUCAAUCCCCAGUAUCUCCA